RNAcentral lists this ribosomal RNA (492 nucleotides) under uncultured bacterium. Its description in RNAcentral is "partial 16S ribosomal RNA". It matches the Rfam family "Bacterial small subunit ribosomal RNA", at positions 29 to 507 of the family's 1533-position model. The record is from RNAcentral.
AGUGAACGCUGGCGGUAGGCCUAACACAUGCAAGUCGAACGGCAGCACAGUAAGAGCUUGCUCUUACGGGUGGCGAGUGGCGGACGGGUGAGGAAUACAUCGGAAUCUACUUUUUCUUGGGUGAUAACGUAGGGAAACUUACGCUAAUACCGCAUACGACCUACGGGUUAAAGCAGUGGAUCUUCGGACCUUUCGCGAUUGAAUGAGCCGAUGUCGGAUUAGCUAGUUGGCGGGGUAAAGGCCCACCAAGGCGACGAUCCGUAGCUGGUCUGAGAGGAUGAUCAGCCACACUGGAACUGAGACACGGUCCAGACUCCUACGGGAGGCAGCAGUGGGGAAUAUUGGACAAUGGGCGCAAGCCUGAUCCAGCCAUACCGCGUGGGUGAAGAAGGCCUUCGGGUUGUAAAGCCCUUUUGUUGGGAAAGAAAAGCAGCAGGUUAAUACCCCGCUGUUCUGACGGUACCCAAAGAAUAAGCACCGGCUAACUUCGUG